Molecule: ribosomal RNA, 253 nt
Filed under: uncultured bacterium
Lineage: Bacteria
Description: partial 16S ribosomal RNA
Rfam family: Bacterial small subunit ribosomal RNA
Source: RNAcentral
GACGAACCGUCCAAACGUUAUUCGGAAUUACUGGGCUUAAAGGGUGCGUAGGCGGCGCGGAAAGUUGGGUGUGAAAUCCCUCGGCUCAACCGAGGAACUGCGCCCAAUACUACCGUGCUUGAGGGAGAUAGAGGUGAGCGGAACUUAGGGUGGAGCGGUGAAAUGCGUUGAUAUCCUAAGGAACACCGGUGGCGAAAGCGGCUCACUGGGUCUUUUCUGACGCUGAGGAACGAAAGCUAGGGGAGCAAACGGG